GCAGAGUAAAUCGGUAUGCGUUAAGUGCCGUGUGAACGGGGAGUUGUCACAUGGACGAAAAGAGGAAUCUUGCGGCAUACGGAUUGCAUCCCGCUGU
This 97-nucleotide non-coding RNA is filed under the name bovine gut metagenome. RNAcentral describes it as "THF riboswitch". It matches the Rfam family "THF (Tetrahydrofolate) riboswitch aptamer". From Rfam's summary of the family: THF riboswitch presents a pseudoknot that joins P1-P2 and the loop of P3 and two THF binding. The record is from RNAcentral.